GUAGGUGGCAGGCGUUGUCCGGAAUUAUUGGGCGUAAAGCGCGCGCAGGCGGUUCUUUAAGUCUGAUGUGAAAGCCCACGGCUCAACCGUGGAGGGUCAUUGGAAACUGGAGAACUUGAGUACAGAAGAGGAAAGCGGAAUUCCACGUGUAGCGGUGAAAUGCGUAGAGAUGUGGAGGAACACCAGUGGCGAAGGCGGCUUUCUGGUCUGUAACUGACGCUGAGGCGCGAAAGCGUGGGGAGCAAACAGGAUUAGAUACCCUGGUAGUCCACGCCGUAAACGAUGAGUGCUAAGUGUUAGGGGGUUUCCGCCCCCCCCUAGUGCUGCAGCUAACGCAUUAAGCACUCCGCCUGGGAGUACGGCCGCAAGGCUG
This 373-nucleotide ribosomal RNA is filed under the name uncultured organism. RNAcentral describes it as "partial 16S ribosomal RNA". It matches the Rfam family "Bacterial small subunit ribosomal RNA", at positions 527 to 896 of the family's 1533-position model. The record is from RNAcentral.